Pseudophryne corroboree (corroboree frog) is the source of this 1008-nucleotide long non-coding RNA. RefSeq lists it as uncharacterized. The record is from RefSeq and is a predicted model, not a curated record. Lineage: Eukaryota; Metazoa; Chordata; Amphibia; Anura; Myobatrachidae. The transcript has 3 exons.
UGCAAAGAUCAAUAAAGUUAUUAGAAAUGACAACAUAGAAUUUUGACCAAUCACAUGCUAACAGACACUAUAAAUAUAUGCCCAAAUAAGGAAAACGCCAUUGCCAUGAUGCGUGCUGCACCUUUCACCAGGCGGGAGCUCCGCGUCCUGGUUGCGGUGAUGGACCGCCGCGUAGGCCGCGUUGGGCGCUUCAUCCCAAAUCGGGUUAAGCGCGAGGCCUACGCGGAGGUCCGCCGCCUGCUGCGGACUCGCGUCCGCAGCAGGCGGACAAUCAUCCAACUAGAGAGGAGGUGGAGUGAUCUCCGCAGGAGGACUCCAGAGCUGUUGGCGGAGAUCCGCCAGCAAAUACGGGCAAUGCAUACACGAAGACGACAACAACGGCAGACCUCUCAGCCCCCUUCCCCUUCCCAGUCCCCCUCCCCUUCUCACUCCCCCUCCCCUUCCCAGUCCCACUCCCCUUCCCAGUCCCCCUCCCCUUCCCAGUCCCCCUCAGCUUCCCAGUCCCCCUCAGCUUCCCAGUCCCCCUCAGCUUCCCAGGCCCACUCCACUUUCCACUCCCCUUCUCACCCCACCUCUCCAUCUCUUUCUGUGACCCCUUCUCCUCCUUCCCAUACCCCUUCUCCUUCAACUUCAAACUCACCUUCUCAGCCCCCCUCACCCUCUAUUGGCUUAACUUUCUCUCCGCCCCCUCGCCCUCUCAAUCAGACCCACCCUCUGAAAUUACAUCCCCAAUCCAGCCUCCUUCCCCCAUCCAGCCUCCUUCCCCCAUCCCUCCUCCUUCCCCAAUCCCUCCUCCUUCCCCAAUCCCUCCUCCUUCCCCCAUCCAGCCGCCUUCCCCCAUCCAGCCGCCUUCCCCACCCAGUGAGUGGGCAGAAGAAGCCCCUGAUGAAAUAUCUGGCAACCAUCAUGUUGCAGAGGAAAAUGUUGCCGUUGGAGAUCCCACAUCUUUUGCGGCCAUUCUUGGGGACAUGAGGCUACAUCUACAGGCCUUGCUGGGUCUUGUUGACC